Molecule: ribosomal RNA, 390 nt
Filed under: uncultured Glomus
Lineage: Eukaryota; Fungi; Glomeromycota; Glomeromycetes; Glomerales; Glomeraceae
Description: SSU rRNA
Rfam family: Eukaryotic small subunit ribosomal RNA
Source: RNAcentral
AGCAGCCGCGGUAAUUCCAGCUCCAAUAGCGUAUAUUAAAGUUGCUGCAGUUAAAAAGCUCGUAGUUGAAUUUCGGGAUCAAUAUGUUGGUCGUGCCUUGGUACGCACUGGCCUAUUGGUUUCUUCCUUCUGACGAACCAUGAUGUCAUUAAUUUGGUGUCUUGGGAAAUCAGGGCUGUUACUUUGAAAAAAUUAGAGUGUUUAAAGCAGGCUCACGCUUGAAUACAUUAGCAUGGAAUAAUAAAAUAGGACGUUUGAUUCUAUUUUGUUGGUUUCUAGGAUCGACGUAAUGAUUAAUAGGGAUAGUUGGGGGCAUUAGUAUUCAAUUGUCAGAGGUGAAAUUCUUGGAUUUAUUGAAGACUAACUACUGCGAAAGCAUUUGCCAAGGAU